UACGUAGGUGGCAAGCGUUGUCCGGAAUUAUUGGGCGUAAAGAGCGUGUAGGCGGCCAGGUAGGUCUGCUGUGAAAACUCGAGGCUUAACCUCGAGCUGUCGGCGGAAACCAUCUGGCUAGAGUCCGGAAGAGGAGAAUGGAAUUCCUGGUGUAGCGGUGAAAUGCGCAGAUAUCAGGAAGAACACCCGUGGCGAAGGCGGCUCUCUGGGACGGUACUGACGCUGAGACGCGAAAGCGUGGGGAGCGAACAGG
Molecule: ribosomal RNA, 253 nt
Filed under: uncultured bacterium
Lineage: Bacteria
Description: partial 16S ribosomal RNA
Rfam family: Bacterial small subunit ribosomal RNA
Source: RNAcentral